ACUCAACGCAAAUUUUAUUAAAAAAGGUGAGUCUGUUUGCUAGAGCGCGCCUGAAAAGGAUUAUCGAAUAUUCAGUUAGCCUUAAACCUGUAUAAACAGAGUUU
Molecule: non-coding RNA, 104 nt
Organism: Flavobacteriaceae bacterium TMED212
Lineage: Bacteria; Pseudomonadati; Bacteroidota; Flavobacteriia; Flavobacteriales; Flavobacteriaceae
Source: Rfam